RNAcentral lists this ribosomal RNA (103 nucleotides) under Pleuropterus multiflorus (tuber fleeceflower). RNAcentral describes it as "Fallopia multiflora partial 5.8S ribosomal RNA". It matches the Rfam family "5.8S ribosomal RNA", at positions 54 to 154 of the family's 154-position model. From Rfam's summary of the family: 5.8S ribosomal RNA (5.8S rRNA) is a component of the large subunit of the eukaryotic ribosome. It is transcribed by RNA polymerase I as part of the 45S precursor that also contains 18S and 28S rRNA. Functionally, it is thought that 5.8S rRNA may be involved in ribosome translocation. Lineage: Eukaryota; Viridiplantae; Streptophyta; Magnoliopsida; Caryophyllales; Polygonaceae. The record is from RNAcentral.
UGCGAUACUUGGUGUGAAUUGCAGAAUCCCGUGAACCAUCGAGUCUUUGAACGCAAGUUGCGCCCGAAGCCCUCGUGGCCAGGGCACGUCUGUCUGGGCGUCA